UACGGAGGGUGCAAGCGUUAUCCGGAUUCACUGGGUUUAAAGGGUGCGUAGGUGGGGAGGUAAGUCAGCGGUGAAAUCCCCGAGCUUAACUUGGGAACUGCCAUUGAUACUAUCUCUCUUGAAUAUCUUGGAGGUGAGCGGAAUAUGUCAUGUAGCGGUGAAAUGCUUAGAUAGGACAUAGAACACCAAUUGCGAAGGCAGCUCACUACACGGUAAUUGACACUGAGGCACGAAAGCGUGGGGAUCAAACAGG
Molecule: ribosomal RNA, 253 nt
Filed under: uncultured bacterium
Lineage: Bacteria
Description: partial 16S ribosomal RNA
Rfam family: Bacterial small subunit ribosomal RNA
Source: RNAcentral